Molecule: ribosomal RNA, 551 nt
Filed under: uncultured archaeon
Lineage: Archaea
Description: bacterial SSU rRNA
Rfam family: Archaeal small subunit ribosomal RNA
Source: RNAcentral
GCGAGUCUUUGUAGUAAUACAAGGCAGACGGCUCAGUAACACGUAGUCAACCUACCCUAUGGACAAGAAUAAUCUCGGGAAACUGAGCAUAAUUCUUGAUAGAUCAUAAUGCCUGGAAUGGUUUAUGGUUAAAAUGAUUCGUCGCCAUAGGAUGGGACUGCGGCCUAUCAGCUUGUUGGUGAGGUAAUGGCCCACCGAGGCGAUUACAGGUACGGGCUCUGAGAGGAGAAGCCCGGAGAUGGGUACUGAGACACGGACCCAGGCCCUAUGGGGCGCAGCAGGCGAGAAAACUUUGCAAUGUGCGAAAGCACGACAAGGUUAAUCCGAGUGAUUUCUGCUAAAGAAACCUUUUGCCAGUCGUAAAACCGCUGGUGAAUAAGGGGUGGGCAAGUUCUGGUGUCAGCCGCCGCGGUAAAACCAGCACCUCAAGUGGUCAGGAUGAUUAUUGGGCCUAAAGCAUCCGUAGCCGGCUUUGUAAGUUUUCGGUUAAAUCCAUGUGCUCAACGCAUGGGCUGCCGAAAAUACUGCAUAGCUAGGGAGUGGGAGAGGUA